AUUGAACGCUAGCGGGAUGCUUUACACAUGCAAGUCGAACGAGUGGCGCACGGGUGAGUAAUAUAUCUGAACGUGCCCAGUAGCCGGGGAUAACUACUCGAAAGAGUGGCUAAUCCCGCAUACUAUUGGAGCGGCCGCUAUCGGAUUAGCUAUUUGGGGGGGUAAAGGGUCACCAAGGCAACGAUCCGUACCUGGUUUGAGAGGACGACCAGCCACACUGGGACGGAGACACGGCCCAGACUCCUACGGGAGGCAGCAGUGGGGAAUGGUGGACAAUGGGGGAAACCCUGAUCCAGCCAUCCCGCGUGUAUGAGAAGGCCUUCGGGUUGUAAAGUACUUUUGGCAGAGAAGCGGUAUCUGCAGAAUAAGCACCGGCUAACUACGUGCCAGCAGCCGCGGUAAUUC
RNAcentral lists this ribosomal RNA (405 nucleotides) under uncultured bacterium. RNAcentral's name for it is "partial 16S ribosomal RNA". It matches the Rfam family "Bacterial small subunit ribosomal RNA", at positions 30 to 526 of the family's 1533-position model. The record is from RNAcentral.